AGAGCAAAUUGCAGAGCCCGUCCGACACCGGAUCACGGAGGUGGUGGAUGCUGGCGCCGCCACCUCACUGUCACUUACGCCCGUCCGGGCUCUAACCCGAUUCGACAUGUUGGCACGCAGACGGGUUGCGUACAUGGACCGGGACCAGCAGGAAUCCCGCCAUGGCAGUUGAUGGUUGAGAGAAGUUGGAGUUUGAUUUGAGACUGCGGAGAAACAAGGAAGACCUCACCCGCAUGCCCCCCACCCCCAACCCUUCUCUCAAGACCAACAUCAACAACGAUACAGGAGGAGGAGACCGCUCAGCUACUGUUAGCGUCCGAUACGCCGGUGUGGGACUCACGGUGUGUGCAGCGGCUGACAGGGGAGUCCUCUGGACGGGGGUGCGUCGGUGACUGCGAUUGUCCCAUAGGACGAUCUGGCCCGAGUAGGUCCCGCCCACCACCAGGUUGGGGUGGAACCUGGCAAAGCCCACGGACACCACUGGAGACUGCAAGGAGGAGAUAAGUGGGCGGUGAGCGGCGUUUGAGUCUCCUUGCUGUACAAGACCACCUCUCUUGGCUGGAAGUCCACCUGUGUGAUCUUGGUGGCCCCCAGCUUGAGCAUCCUGCGCCUAGUUUGCAGACAAAAGAUAACGUACCCGAGCUCGGAAUCGGCCUGCAGCUGCAGCACCGUGGGGUCUGUGUCCCACUGCAGUGUCCUGCCAUGACCAGCAGAGGGGAUAAGAGCAUACAAAUAACCAGUCUUUCACCAAAAAUAUUGCAUAUUCAUGUAUCGUUGCAGAUUAACCACGCAAUUUAUUGAGAUUCUUUGGAAAUAAUUUGUUCUAUUCAUUCAUGUAGAGCCCCCUUACAUUAACUGUGGAUGGUUACCUGAGGGGGUUGUGAUCAGGUCAGUGAAUACGCAUCCAAAAUGUGGCUUCAAAAUACACCCCGACAGGUCUUUAGUUGAUACUUUGACCAGUUUUUCAGCAAAUAAAUUAAGUACAUUCAGGUCAAACUUUAAAAAAUUGCAUUCUGAUGAUAAAUUUGCCUUUGUGUCAAAAUAUCGGGAUCUUUUUUAGGUUAAUUUGAGUACCUUGAAAGUAGAAAAGUGCUAUACAAGUAUAACCCAUUUAUCAUUUAUCAUUAUCAUUUAAUUUAAAUGAUGUAAGUGAGUCAUUUCCUGUGAUUAUUCACGAUGAAUUAAGUGUGAAACGAGUCAUUUGGCAACACUCCUUUAUAUACCAGACAUAUAGCAUACUGUACACAGUAAGAAAGCUCCAGUGCACCUUUUCAUAGAAACAUAUUUGGAGAGGCAGCAGACAUGCAUGAUGAUGAAGUCUUUCACACCUUCUAGGGCUCUACCGAGGCUUUUUGUGGCUCUAAACAAGAUUGGAUUUGUGGCCCCAUUUCGGCCUUCAAUAUCACUGGCGUAACACGUUAGGGGCUACUUGACCUCAGCCUGGUGACUAUUCUAAUAGACGUCCAUCGCCAGCUUGUAAAGAUGACUAAGUGGCUGUUACUUUAUGUCUAGAAGGCUUUUCAUGUUCAAAACUGUAUUUAGAAAGCCAUAAACAGGUUUUCAUCCCCUCCAUUUAUAAUGAAUUAUAAUUCCUACUUCAUGGAAAUGAAUUUACCAUAGAUUAACAGCUAUAAACAGGUGUUUACUGUAUUAUUCUUGGUGACCUGAACAAAAAUAUACUGUAUUUUAAGUGCAUUUUUAAUAAAAGAUUAGGAAAUGAUGUAUUAUUAAUAUUUUAUAAGAUUUUUAUUUAUUUUUAUUUAUUUUAAAUAAUCAUGUAAAGGACUCCAUUGACAACUGCAAUUAAUUUUAUAUGCAAUAUGUUCAAUAGAUAUGUGUUUGUAUUCCAAAGUUGAUUUGGAAAUGUGAAAUAAAAAUAGGUUGAUAGGUCUCAAGGGGAGAGAAACGUGUUUGCUCGCUCCUUCCUACCACAGUGAAUCCAAUUCAAAACUCCUAUGUCUUGCAAAAGUAAACAA
Molecule: long non-coding RNA, 1976 nt
Organism: Entelurus aequoreus (snake pipefish)
Lineage: Eukaryota; Metazoa; Chordata; Actinopteri; Syngnathiformes; Syngnathidae
Exons: 6
Source: RefSeq, a predicted model, not a curated record